GAACGAUCUUGCCAUUGUUGGAGACUAUACUGCUCGCUUCAGACAAGCAGUUGUCUCUAGUGGGAACAACUCUCUUGAUCUCUGUUCCAUCUGGUAAUUCUUGCAAACCCAUUUUGUGAACCUCUAGAAAUGGUUUGAUGUCUAUCUUCGCAUCUCCCAUCUUGUCGUGCGAUGUGAAUGUAUCUUUAUCAUACACUGUCUGUUUUAAAAAACUGAUUAGUAACUUAUUGUCGAUUGGUUUUGAGUUGGAAACGACGGGUAGUAGUACUCACCAGAUUCACAGGUUCAUUGGGGUUUUUUAUCGCAAGGGUCAAUUCCUCGUUCCACUCAGGGUUACAGUUGUUUUCUACAGUACGCGACUUCAGCUUCUGGUGCAAUUCAAAGAACUCAAUUAGAGAGUACAUGCAAGAAAUAUAAUAAACAUACUUAGAUCAAAUGUCUUCAAGUCGUUUAAUCUAUCAAAAUCAGAUUACUGGAAACUAUCUAUUGUUUCAUUGCAACAUGAAAUUAGUACUUUCUUGUUUUGUCUUUAACCUUGAAACUAAAAUCUAUUAUGCUUUUUUAAGGUUGAUUCUUUAGAUAAACAAGAGAGAUUUUUAUCUCAAGAACAGAGACAGAAACAUGAAACAAAUCUAAAUCAAGAGACCUAGAAGACCAAAUCAGAUUAUAAAUGAAAGAGACAAUAAAAAGAAAAAAGGACCUGUGAACCCAUGGUUAUGAGGACAAAAGGGUCGCUGCUUAAAGAGUCACGAAGAGCAAGAUUGAUCCCUCUCUUAAUUCGGAUUCUUAGAAGCCCUACAAGGUCCUCCAUCUCUCAACCUCUUCCUCUGUUUUCUCUCUAUGUUAUAUCUUCUGAAUUUUGAUCGAUGUCUCUCUCAAUAAGGCUCUGAGUAUUCUACUUUUUCUUUUUCCUUCAGAAAAUAUUAUCGGCUCAAAUUCAACGAGUCCACUUAAAAAUUGGCUUAUCAACGGACGAAAGAGCGAGUAAAGAAACAAGAAUAAAGACCAAUCUAAUAUAGUAUUAUUAAAGGUUUCUUUUGCCAGGUGUUUGUUUCCUUAUUAUUCUCAUCUAAGCGUUACUCUCACGAACAUCUUUGGUAAUAAUAUCCUCUAGAUUCUUCUUUUUGGCAAUUGAGAAAACUACAAGUCAACUCGCGGGAAAGAAUAAAAACGAUUUCGGUUAGAUCUAAAACCAAAAUAUUUCAAUUACAAAGCAGAGUAAGUUAAGUACUCUGUUUCUACUUAUUGUUACUUUGUCUGAAACCCAAAACAAAACAAACUGAGGUUUCUUUUUAUUUAUUUUUACAGAGAAAGUGAGAGAGAUCAUAAAGAGCCUUCAUCUCUGUUUCAGAGUCCACAACCACCUGGAUUUUUAAUCCACUCAAGCUGAAUCUCGACUUUGCCAC
This 1406-nucleotide long non-coding RNA is filed under the name Capsella grandiflora. RNAcentral describes it as "long non-coding RNA (CGRA_LNC000320)". The record is from RNAcentral. Lineage: Eukaryota; Viridiplantae; Streptophyta; Magnoliopsida; Brassicales; Brassicaceae.